This 460-nucleotide ribosomal RNA is filed under the name uncultured bacterium. RNAcentral describes it as "partial 16S ribosomal RNA". It matches the Rfam family "Bacterial small subunit ribosomal RNA", at positions 338 to 795 of the family's 1533-position model. The record is from RNAcentral.
CCUACGUGAGGCUGCAGUGAGGAAUAUUGGUCAAUGGGCGCGAGCCUGAACCAGCCAAGUCGCGUGAGGGAAGACGGUCCUAUGGAUUGUAAACCUCUUUUGUCGGGGAGCAAAAGACGCCACGCGUGGCGUUCCGAGAGUACCCGAAGAAAACGCAUCGGCUAACUCCGUCCCAGCAGCCGCGGUAAUACGGAGGAUCCGAGCGUUAUCCGGAUUUAUUGGGUUUAAAGGGAGCGUAGAUGGGUUGUUAAGUCAGUUGUGAAAGUUUGCGGAUCAACCGUAAAAUUGCAAUUGAUACUGGCAGGAUUGAGUACAGUUGAGGUAGGCGGAAGUCGUGGUGUAGCGGUGAAAUGCUUAGAUAUCACGAAGAACCCCGAUUGCGAAGGCAGCUUACUAAACUGUGACUGACAUUGAUGCUCGAAAGUGUGGGUAUCAAACAGGAUUAGAUACCCGUGUAGUC